ACCCGAAGAGGUCUUAACUCAAAAUCAUAGAGAUCCUGCAGGUAGUCUACCCGAGGAGGUCUUAACUCAAAAUCAUAGAGAUCCUGCAGGUAGUCAAUCU
Clupea harengus (Atlantic herring) is the source of this 100-nucleotide long non-coding RNA. RefSeq lists it as uncharacterized. The transcript has 3 exons. Lineage: Eukaryota; Metazoa; Chordata; Actinopteri; Clupeiformes; Clupeidae. The record is from RefSeq and is a predicted model, not a curated record.